AACAGUGAUGAGUCAGUU
Molecule: small nuclear RNA, 18 nt
Filed under: Arabidopsis thaliana (thale cress)
Lineage: Eukaryota; Viridiplantae; Streptophyta; Magnoliopsida; Brassicales; Brassicaceae
Description: snRNA_12105
Source: RNAcentral